This 482-nucleotide ribosomal RNA is filed under the name uncultured bacterium. RNAcentral describes it as "partial 16S ribosomal RNA". It matches the Rfam family "Bacterial small subunit ribosomal RNA", at positions 28 to 507 of the family's 1533-position model. The record is from RNAcentral.
GAUGAACGCUAGCGGCAGGCCUAAUACAUGCAAGUCGAACGAGAUUAAGAGGCUUGCUUCUUAUGAAAGUGGCGCACGGGUGCGUAACGCGUAUGCAACCUACCUUAAUCAGGGGGAUAGCCCGAAGAAAUUCGGAUUAAGACCGCAUAAAAACACAGGAUAGCAUUAUCCAAUGUUCAAAUAUUUAUAGGUUUAAGAUGGGCAUGCGUGUCAUUAGCUAGUUGGCGGGGUAACGGCCCACCAAGGCGACGAUGACUAGGGGAUCUGAGAGGAUGACCCACCACACCUGUAACGCGGCACGGACUAGACUCGUACGGGACGGAGCAGUAAGUAACACUGUGCAAGGGAGGGAACUCUGACCCCGCCAUGCCGGGUGCAGGAAGACAGCGCUCGGGGUCGUCAACUGCUUGUAUUCGAGAAUAAACCUUUCUACGUGUAGGAAGCUGAAGGUACCGAAGGAAUAAGGAUCGGCUAACUCCGUG